GUGAAUCAUCGAAUUUUUGAACGCAAAUUGCACUCCCUGGUAUUACGGGGAGUAUGCCUGUUUGAGGGUAGUUAGAAUAAAAAAUCGAUGUGUCGCUCUUUUUUUUAAGGCUGAUCGGGUCGGAAUUGAGCCGUCUUUCAAAUGUUAAUUUAAGUCAAAGUGGCUUGAAAUUCAUCAAUUCGGUACGAUUGAUGUGUAUUUACGAUUAAUUUUGUUUGAGAACGUGCGAUGAAGUAGCAUCUCAUGUAGUAUGUUUGUACUG
RNAcentral lists this unclassified non-coding RNA (262 nucleotides) under Glomeraceae sp. Its description in RNAcentral is "partial contains 5.8S ribosomal RNA and internal transcribed spacer 2". The stretch from base 1 to 71 matches the Rfam family "5.8S ribosomal RNA", at positions 84 to 154 of the family's 154-position model. Lineage: Eukaryota; Fungi; Glomeromycota; Glomeromycetes; Glomerales; Glomeraceae. The record is from RNAcentral.